This 679-nucleotide long non-coding RNA is filed under the name Salmo salar (Atlantic salmon). RNAcentral describes it as "lncRNA (ENSSSAG00000102621.1)". Lineage: Eukaryota; Metazoa; Chordata; Actinopteri; Salmoniformes; Salmonidae. The record is from RNAcentral.
GAGGUAUGGGACUGUAGGUGGAGGUAUGGGACUGUAGGUGGAGGUAUAGAGGUAUGGGACUGUAGGUGGAGGUAUAGAGGUAUGGGACUGUAGGUGGAGGUAUAGAGAUAUGGGACUGUAGGUGGAGGUAUAGAGGUAUGGGACUGUAGGUGGAGGUAUAGAGGUAUGGGACUGUAGGUGGAGGUAUAGAGGUAUGGGACUGUAGGUGGAGGUAUAGAGGUAUGGGACUGUAGGUGGAGGUAUAGAGGUAUGGGACUGUAGGUGGAGGUAUGGGACUGUAGGUGGAGCUAUAGAGGUAUGGGACUGUAGGUGGAGGUAUAGUGGUAUGGGACUGUAGGUGGAGGUAUAGAGGUAUGGGACUGUAGGUGGAGGUAUGGGACUGUAGGUGGAGGUAAAGAGGUAUGGGACUGUAGGUGGAGGUAUAGAGGUAUGGGACUGUAGGUGGAGGUAUAGAGGUAUGGGACUGUAGGUGGAGGUAUGGGACUGUAGGUGGAGGUAUAGAGGUAUGGGACUGUAGGUGGAGGUAUAGAGGUAUGGGACUGUAGGUGGAGGUAUAGAGGUAUGGGACUGUAGGUGGAGGUAUCGAGGUAUGGGACUGUAGGUGGAGGUAUAGAGGUAUGGGACUGUAGGUGGAGGUAUCGAGGUAUGGGACUGUAGGUGGAGGUAUAGAGGUAUGGGA